This 1237-nucleotide long non-coding RNA is filed under the name Bemisia tabaci. RNAcentral describes it as "lncRNA ENSSSA1UGG005722". The record is from RNAcentral. Lineage: Eukaryota; Metazoa; Arthropoda; Insecta; Hemiptera; Aleyrodidae.
CAUCGAUGUGCUUGCCCCAGUAAAAAUGCUCUCGAGCAACUCCUGUUGGACGUUCUGUCGACGUUGCUUAGUUCCUUUGAUUUCUAAAUACUUUCUUUAUAAAAUUGAGUCAACGUUUUAGACCCUCUUUGUUGAAUUCCCUGUAUUAAUUACGCUUUAUUCCUUCAAGAAUCAAUCUGUAAGUAAAAUUGACUGCAACAUGUCUCUUAAAUUUCAAUGUUUCAUCUUUUACAUGUUACUUGAGAUGAAUGUAAGCAUUUCAAAAAAUCAUAAGUUAAACGUGAGCAGUGAAAAAAAUGAUGGUGGACGAUUGCUUUUGCUUGCUAUCAAAGUUUGUCACAACACAAUCCAACUUUCCGAUCAAAAAUUCCUUCACAUAGCCAAUUUCAACUCUCAUGGAACUGUGCCUAUUUUGAUCCAAACUUUACACGAUUCCUCCAUCCAAACCGUAUUGACUACACAUUACUGCGAGCUGAUGGGCUGGAGCGAGAAAAAUCAGAUUAAAAAUAUGAUUUUUUUCCUCGAUGAUAUCGAGGAAAUCACCAGUCUGAUUUUAAGUUCGGUUUCGAGGGAAGGAAAUAAUUGUGGAGAAAGCUUCAACUUUGAUAAAAAUAAAAUCUCACUAGUCCAUAACGAAUCGAUUUCUGCAGUCGAUCGUCCUCAUAAGGCUGAGAGUCGUAAAAUAAAUGAACUACCACGAUACUGCAUUACAGUCGACGAAUAUAUGCCUUCGAUGGAGGGUGGAAAAUGUGACGAACAAAUGUUUCUUUCCUCAGCAGAACUGAACGGCUCCGUGGACCUAUCUGAUUUGAAUUUUGACUUGACCCGCGGCCUGUACACGAACCCAAUUUGGAACUCGAACAAUUACUUGAUUUUCAUGCUCAGCGAGUUCGGCCGCGGUACUUGCAACUCAAAUACCUCCGUCCAUCCUCAGGAAUGGGUUUGCGAUUUCGACCAAGAGAGGAAAACUUCUGCGAAUGAUUACGAUGCGCUGGUUUUUUGCUUUAAGUUUUUCUGGCGGUUCUUCCGCGGCUUGAAAACGAUAAUCUGCCACGAGGGAGGGUGCAGUAGAUACGACUCUUUCGCCGAAAAUAUUGUCCAGUACAAUGGGGAAGGCGACGAAACUUACUUCGACUUCUCCGUGACCAACAUGCAUAAGAAAGAAUUGGCAGUAAUCGUAAGCGAUUACCACGGUAAUGUCGUGACCGAAAGUCAUCGUGGCCCAUUCAAAUUUCUG